Long non-coding RNA from Haliotis rufescens (red abalone), 419 nucleotides. RefSeq lists it as uncharacterized. The record is from RefSeq and is a predicted model, not a curated record. Lineage: Eukaryota; Metazoa; Mollusca; Gastropoda; Lepetellida; Haliotidae. The transcript has 2 exons.
GUUGUAUCAGCAGAAGGCCUGAAAUGGCAUCGGUUUUAGUAGAUACCAGUGGCAUGAGCAGAUGAAGAGAUGAUGUUCGCUGCGCAUGCUUAACUCAUCAAUACUCCUGUCUUAUAACGCCGCUCCCAAAACUUUCACCGAGAGAUACCAGAAGACCAGUGUCCAUACAACUAGAACACAUGUCUCUUGGCAUGACGAUCUCACGUCUUUGUCACCAAAUAACAACAGUGUCUACAGGGAUUGGUGGGAUGGGUGACAAACAGUUGGUGCCAUGUAUUUUUGUACAAGAGGUCAUCUCGGGAUUAUCACAGAUAACGCAACCUGGUGCCUUCAUUGCUAAAGGUGGAUAUAUUAUAUCAACAUCAACCAGAACGUAAUCUGAAAGCAACACGGGUGUGAAUAAAGUUUAUCUGCCGCAA